GUUUCUGUAGUGUAGUGGUUAGCAUGUUUGCCUCAUGCACUAAAAGGUCCCUGGUUCGAAUCCAGGCAGGAACA
Trichechus manatus latirostris (Florida manatee) is the source of this 74-nucleotide non-coding RNA. Lineage: Eukaryota; Metazoa; Chordata; Mammalia; Sirenia; Trichechidae. The record is from the annotation of a RefSeq genome assembly.